This is a long non-coding RNA of Lepisosteus oculatus (spotted gar), 227 nucleotides long. RefSeq lists it as uncharacterized. Lineage: Eukaryota; Metazoa; Chordata; Actinopteri; Semionotiformes; Lepisosteidae. The record is from RefSeq and is a predicted model, not a curated record.
AAAAAUUCCUGUCGGCAAAGAUAAACACCCCAUUACAACUUAAUUUGCAGGAGCAACUGAUAAAAAAUGUGCACUUUGAUCAAGUUUUUCAUGAAUGACUUCAAAGGUUUUUGAGACCCAAAUCAGCUUCACUUUCUCUAACACCAAACAGGGCUGGGAAGAAAGUACUCAGACAACUGGGCAAGUAGGUGAUCGUAUGUUACAAAAAGGUCUGCAUGUCUGGUUUU